RNAcentral lists this ribosomal RNA (320 nucleotides) under uncultured Spirochaetota bacterium. Its description in RNAcentral is "bacterial SSU rRNA". It matches the Rfam family "Bacterial small subunit ribosomal RNA", at positions 28 to 351 of the family's 1533-position model. Lineage: Bacteria; Pseudomonadati; Spirochaetota. The record is from RNAcentral.
GACGAACGCUGGCGGCGUGGAUUAGGCAUGCAAGUCGAACGGUAUGUGCCCUUCGGGACACAGAGAGUGGCGAACGGGUGAGUAACGCGUAGGUGAUCUACCUUCAAGUGGGGGACAACCCAGGGAAACUUGGGCUAAUACCGCAUGUGGCUGUAAAGCUAAAGCCGGCCUCUGCAUAUGCUGGUGCUUGGAGAUGAGCCUGCGUCUGAUUAGCUAGACGGUGGGGUAAUGGCCUACCGUGGCGAUGAUAAGUAGGCGGCUUUAACGAGUGGUCGCCCACACUGGGAUUGAGAUACGGCCCAGACUCCUACGGGUGGCUG